UGUUUGUGUAGUAGAGGUUUGGUGGAAUUGAAAUUAUGUGAUAGUUGGAUGAGGAUUAGUGUGGCGGAUUUUAUGGGAUUUGAUUGGUAAUGAGGCUAGUGGGGAGUUGAGAGUAUUAUUUUGAAUUUAAUUUAAUUUUAAUUUAAUUUUUUAUUUGUUUCCAAAUUUUUUUUUCUAUUUUCCUCACGUUUUUGGUUCUUUUGCUCAUUUUCUUUUGACCUUUUUUGGGUCCCUUCCCCUUUUGCCUCUUUCUUCAACUUCGGCCUCUAAUUGCUCAAUUUAAUCGUUGUCACUUGGAUCCUUUUUGGUUCUUCUUUCGGUUUAGUAAGUAGGGUUUGUACAGCCCAAUUUUGGGCCCAAACUAAAAAACCUUAAGCCCAAUUAUAGCCCAUAACCUAAACAGAGAACAGAAACCCUAGGAGCCGCCUCUGCCCCUGUCCCAUCGCACCAUGCCUGUUCCACCGCCCUUGUCAGCCACCUACUCCUCAACUUGCUCCAAUCACCUGCACGAAGAAAAGAUAGCAAAUAAAUGUUGUAACAAAUCGGCUAUAAAGCCGAAUAGAAACCAAUAUAAAAAGGGGGGUUCGUUUUUUGUCAUAAACUCAUACACAUCAAUUGAAACGAAAAAGAGAAAUCAAAAUACUAUUUUUCUCUACAAAGGCACAUCGUUUUUUUACUUAUAUUUUUAGAUAUAACAUACCAUAGAAGACACAUAGAUAUUUUCAAAGAAAAGAGAAGAAAAGCAUUACCUUUCUUGAGAUUGGAGGAAGAAACCGAGGGUUUAUUGUCUUUUGUUUUAUUUUUUAUUAAGAGUUUUGGGGUUUUUAAACGAGGAAGGGAAGGCCAAAUCGGCCGAAAAAAAGGGUGACUUGGGAACGCCGGCCACCGUAUACGGUGGCGGUUCGACGACGGCGGUGAAAUGGGUUCCUUUUGAAACCCAAACAGAUCUAAAAAUGAAGAAAAUGGGAGGGGGGCUGCUGGUCGUUUCUGG
RNAcentral lists this long non-coding RNA (991 nucleotides) under Gossypium barbadense (sea-island cotton). Its description in RNAcentral is "long non-coding RNA (GBAR_LNC004208)". The record is from RNAcentral. Lineage: Eukaryota; Viridiplantae; Streptophyta; Magnoliopsida; Malvales; Malvaceae.